Long non-coding RNA from Helianthus annuus (common sunflower), 225 nucleotides. RefSeq lists it as uncharacterized. The transcript has 2 exons. The record is from RefSeq and is a predicted model, not a curated record. Lineage: Eukaryota; Viridiplantae; Streptophyta; Magnoliopsida; Asterales; Asteraceae.
GGAAGCGCUUCGGGUCAAAGGUAAACACGGAAGCCACAUGUAAAUUGGUCGUACGAGGUUGGGAGGACAUAAUAUUAUUAUGAAGGAUAAGAGGAUUGAAGAUCGGGUCAAGAGUAAGGAUUGUACGGGAAGGAUCGGUCACAUAGUUUGACAAAUAUGGGUCUUGAAGCAUUAAUAUAAUGGAACGUGGUAAAUCCUUUUUAAUGAGUGUAUGAAAUUUUUGUA